Molecule: unclassified non-coding RNA, 343 nt
Filed under: soil metagenome
Description: partial contains 5.8S ribosomal RNA, internal transcribed spacer 2, and large subunit ribosomal RNA
Rfam family: 5.8S ribosomal RNA (bases 1-120)
Source: RNAcentral
GAUGAAGAACGCAGCGAAAUGCGAUAAGUAAUGUGAAUUGCAGAAUUCAGUGAAUCAUCGAAUCUUUGAACGCACAUUGCGCCCGCCAGCAUUCUGGCGGGCAUGCCUGUUCGAGCGUCAUUUCAACCCUCGAGCCGCCCCGGGGGCCUCGGUGUUGGGGGACGGCACACCAGCCGCCCCCGAAAUGCAGUGGCGACCCCGCCGCAGCCUCCCCUGCGUAGUAGCACACACCUCGCACCGGAGCGCGGAGGCGGUCACGCCGUAAAACGCCCAACUUUCUUAGAGUUGACCUCGGAUCAGGUAGGAAUACCCGCUGAACUUAAGCAUAUCAAUAAGCGGAGGA